RNAcentral lists this ribosomal RNA (509 nucleotides) under uncultured bacterium. RNAcentral's name for it is "bacterial SSU rRNA". It matches the Rfam family "Bacterial small subunit ribosomal RNA", at positions 15 to 518 of the family's 1533-position model. The record is from RNAcentral.
GAUUAUGGCUCAGGAUGAACGCUAGCGGCAGGCUUAACACAUGCAAGUCGAGGGGCAACGCGAGUAGCAAUACUUGGCGGCGACCGGCGCAAGGGUGCGUAACGCGUGAGCAACAUGCCCGUAUCAGGGGGAUAAUCCAGGGAAACUUGGUCUAAUACCCCAUAGUAAUUUUGUAAGGCAUCUUAUAAGAUUUAAAGCUUUGGUGGAUACGGAUUGGCUCGCGUGACAUUAGCUGGAUGGUAAGGUAACGGCUUACCAUGGCUAUGAUGUCUAGGGGUUCUGAGAGGAAGGUCCCCCACACUGGAACUGAGACACGGUCCAGACUCCUACGGGAGGCAGCAGUGAGGAAUAUUGGACAAUGGAUGGAAAUCUGAUCCAGCCAUGCCGCGUGAAGGAAAGAAGGUCCUAUGGAUUGUAAACUUCUUUUGUAUGGGAGCAAUAAGGCCUACGUGUAGGUUGAUGAGAGUACCAUACGAAUAAGCACCGGCUAACUCCGUGCCAGCAGCGGC